AAUGAGCUUAACGCCUUGAAAACACACAUGCACCGUCACAUGGUCCCGGGUGCCGUCGACGAUUCGCCUUUCGAGGUCGAUCUCGCGGUCGGAUCCAUGGGGUGCGUGGAGGCCUAACC
Molecule: small RNA, 119 nt
Filed under: Modicisalibacter muralis
Lineage: Bacteria; Pseudomonadati; Pseudomonadota; Gammaproteobacteria; Oceanospirillales; Halomonadaceae
Description: Halomonas muralis t44 RNA
Rfam family: t44 RNA
About the family: This family consists of a number of bacterial RNA genes of between 135 and 170 bases in length. The t44 gene is found between the map and rpsB genes in all species in the full alignment apart from Shigella flexneri. The function of this RNA is unknown.
Source: RNAcentral